Taeniopygia guttata (zebra finch) is the source of this 966-nucleotide non-coding RNA. NCBI's taxonomy places the organism in Eukaryota, Metazoa, Chordata, Aves, Passeriformes, Estrildidae. The record is from RefSeq and is a predicted model, not a curated record.
UACAUACAUGAAGAAGGUGUAAGUGAAUGUUUCAUCAUCUAAUUGUAAAUACAUUUUAACUAAAAUGCAGGAACUAACUGUUAAGGAUGAAGUAAUUUAAAUUAUAAUAUCUAUAGUAUAUAAAAACAGACAUGUCUGGCCAGAUGAUGUGAGAAUAAGGAGUGACUGGAUUUCAAAUAAGUAACAAGCAACUAAAAAUUAUGUGCUGUGGGAUUCACCUGACCACCACACAUUAAAACAACCUGCAAAGAAGAGAUGAGGCAAUUUAAGAGAAAGGUUUCUAUGUUGGAGGAGCAAUGAAAAAUCUCAUUUAACAGAGAUAUUGGGUUAGUCAUAAUUUUUGCUUCUUCUGUCUGCAGAAAUCAGGUCUCAACAGAGCUCUUGGAUCCUGGAGAAACCUGAUGAGAGAUGUCAUUCCAAACCCACUGACAGAAAAGGAAGAGGAGUAAUAGUACUCACAUGUAAAUAAAGUGAGGCAAGCCCUGGAAAAUGCUUCACAACAAGAGGAAAAAUUGAGGAAUUAGGAGUGCUUGAAAGAGUCCUUUGUAGUACAAACACCUGUGGGAUGGGAAGAAAAUACUAAACAGUUCUAUAAUAUGAUCUCAAAUUUUCUCAAUGAAACAAGACAGCUUUCUCCCUCAUCUCAGUGCAGACAUGGAGAGAGGCCCUGCUUUCCUGCAGGAGCUCUGGAACCAAAAUCAGCUGGUGCCUCUUUACCACCUGUGAUCAUCUUGGUACUACCAGUGAGCUUGGCUUGCAGGAGCACUUUUUGAAUGAGACAUGAGGAUUGAUGCACAGCAAAGCCCGUGGGUAGUGCUGUGGUGGGAGCAUUUCACUGACAGAAAUCUGUGGGCUUUGUCUGGCCCACAGCAAUGCAGAUCUAAUUCAUCGCUUCACCGAGGAAUUUUUGUUGGAGCACGAAAUUGCUGUUUUAGCAGCAGCAAAAUCAGUAACCACGGUGUUCUC